RNAcentral lists this non-coding RNA (102 nucleotides) under Lutibacter flavus. Its description in RNAcentral is "SAM-I sequence". It matches the Rfam family "SAM riboswitch aptamer (S box leader)". From Rfam's summary of the family: The SAM riboswitch is found upstream of a number of genes which code for proteins involved in methionine or cysteine biosynthesis in Gram-positive bacteria. The SAM riboswitch acts at the level of transcription termination control. The predicted structure consists of a complex stem-loop region followed by a single stem loop terminator region. The record is from RNAcentral. Lineage: Bacteria; Pseudomonadati; Bacteroidota; Flavobacteriia; Flavobacteriales; Flavobacteriaceae.
UUGUUAUCAAGAAAGGCAGAGGGAAUAGACCCAUUGAAGCCUUAGCAACCCUUUAGCUUUUAAAGAAGGUGCUAAAUUCUACCCAUUUUGGAUAGAUAACUC